This is an RNA transcript of Fukomys damarensis (Damara mole-rat), 4791 nucleotides long. It is a transcript of the gene named BUD13 homolog, with no coding region annotated. Lineage: Eukaryota; Metazoa; Chordata; Mammalia; Rodentia; Bathyergidae. The record is from RefSeq and is a predicted model, not a curated record. The transcript is spliced from 14 exons.
UCGGUGUGUGGCCUAGUUGUUCAGUGUCGAUGUGCCUCUACAAUAUCAAACGUGGGGAAGUCACACAGGCUUGAGAAACCUAGUGUUUUUCAGUCAUAUUGGAUUUGGCAUUGCUGACUUCCUCUCUUGAAUGUACCUGGAAAACUUCGAGGGGAUUCCCAUUCACCUAAAGAUGCUUAUACAGAAAAGGUCGUACAACUAGAAAAUGUAUGGUGCACGCCUGUAAAAUCAGCACACCGGAGGAUGUGGCAGGAGGAUUGCGAGUUUGAGGAAAGCGUGGGCAACACACCAAGUUCAAGGCCAGCCUGGCCUACACUGUGAGACCUUAUCUCAAAAAGCUAAAAAAAGAGUCUACUUUGUUUACUACACAGACGGCCUGAAACCGCUGAGGACAGGGGACUUUUUUUGGGGGUCAGCUUGUGUAGCAUCAAGGAUGUUGGACGAUGGACAGAGCACAAACACGACUCCCUCGUCAUAGAACAAACUGGACAGCCGAGGUAUAAGCGUUCCAGGCUUGCUAACCAACGCGAUACCAGCGAAUCAAACGGAAUCCUCAGCCACUUCCGCUUCUGGCCCCUCCCUUCGGGCUUUAGCCUUCUGUUUCGCGUUCAAGAAUUUUGUCCCCAACACCGAGUCGUCUUUUCGCCUUCGCUGCUGCUAUGGCGGCAGCUCCGCUGCUCUCCAAGGCCGAGUACCUGAAGCGUUACCUGUCCGGGACUGAUGCUGGCAUCGACGGGGGAUCCGCGUCCGGUCGCAAGCGACGCAAAAAGCGGCCGAAACUAGGAGGGGCCGGCAGCAAGGGAAUGCGGAUUGUUGAUGAUGACGUGAGCUGGACAGCUAUCUCUACCACUAAACCAGAGAAGGAAGAGGAAGAUGAUGGAGAUUUGCCUGUGGUGGCUGAGUUUGUGGAUGAGCGGCCAGAAGAGGUAAAGCAGAUGGAGGCUUUUCGUUGUAGUACCAAAUGGAAGCUUCUGGGAGACCACAGUGAAGACCUAUCCUCACAUAGUCAUUUCCAUCAUGAAACUCCGUAUUCAUCUCCCAGGAGGGCCCGUCAUGAAACUCCGGAUCCAUCUCCUCCCAGGAGGGCCCGUCAUGAUACCCCGGAUCCAUCCCCUCCCAGGAGGGCCCGUCAUGAUACUCCGGAUUCAUCUCCUCCUAGGAGGGCCCGUCAUGAUACCCCAGAUCCAUCUCCUCCUAGGAGGGCCCGUCAUGAUACCCCGGAUCCAUCCCCUCCCAGGAGGGCCCGUCAUGAUACUCCGGAUUCAUCUCCUCCUAGGAGGGCCCGUCAUGAAACUCUGGAUCCAUCUCCUCCUAGAAGGGCCUGUCAAGACUCAGACACAUCUUUUCCCAGGAGGGUCCACCAUGACUCCUCAGAUGCGUCCCCCAUUAGGAAGCCUCAUCAUAAUUCUUCAGAUGUAUCUCCUAGAAGAGUCCCUCAUGAUUCCUCAGGUAUCUCUUACCCCAGAAGGGCCCAUAACAAUUCCUUUGACACAUCCCAACCUAGGAGGACUCUUGACUCUUCAGACAUAUGGCAUCCCAGAAAGGGCCAUCAUCAUGAGCCCUCCCAUUUGGCCCCUGAUGCUGCUCAUUCACUGCCCAGAACCAAAAGAAAUAAAACCCCAGAAAGAGCCUCUAGCAAGUCUUCUUCACAUUGGAAGGGGUCAGGAUCUACACAUCCUUCACUCUUGAAGAACAUCAAAAGUGAAUAUGGUUCAGACCUCUCUCCACGAAAAAAGCAAGGAAAAUCUCAUUUUGGAGAUCAGAGGCAGCUUGAUUCUAAAGGUGACUACCGGAAAGCUUCUGAUUCAGAUCUUUCACCUCCACGGCAUAAACGGAGUCCUGGGCACCAGGAUUCUGAUUCAGAUCUGUCACCUCCAAGGAAUAGACCAAGACACCGGAGCUCUGAUUCUGACCUCUCGCCACCAAGGAGAAAACAGAGGGCCAAAUCUUCGGAUUCUGAUCUGUCUCCACCUCGAAGGAGUCAGCCUCCUGGAAAGAAGGCUGCGCACAUGUAUUCUGGGGCUAAAACUGGGUUGGUGUUAACUGACAUACAGCAAGAACAGCAGGAUCUCAAAAAACAGGACCAAGACAACAUGGCAUUUGAAGCUGAAUUCCAGUUUGCUGAAACUGUGUUUCGUGACAAGACUGGUCGUAAGAGGAAUUUGAAACUGGAACGUCUUGAACAAAGGAGAAAAGCACAGAAGGACUCAGAACGAGAAGAGCUGUAUGCCCAGUGGGGCAAAGGCCUUGCCCAGAGCCGGCAACAGCAACAAAAUGUGGAGGAUGCAAUGAAGGAGAUGCAAAAGCCUCUAGCCCGCUAUAUUGAUGAUGAAGAUUUGGAUCGGAUGCUGAGAGAACAAGAAAGGGAGGGAGACCCCAUGGCCAACUUCAUCAAGAAAAAUAAGGCCAAGGAGAGCAAGAAUAAGAAAGUGAGACCUCGAUACAAUGGACGAGCACCACCGCCAAACAGAUUCAAUAUCUGGCCUGGAUAUCGUUGGGAUGGAGUGGAUAGAUCCAAUGGAUUUGAACAGAAGCGCUUUGCCAGACUUGCCAGCAAGAAGGCAGUGGAGGAACUUGCCUACAAGUGGAGUGUUGAGGACAUGUAGCUUUUCUGAGGCUGUACUAGUGGCUGUGGGUUGGGGUGGUGGCAUGAGACAGCCAGGUAUCCAGCUGUAUCAUUUGCCUUUGAUAAUAAUAAUCAGGGCCAUCACAGACCAGCAACUUGUUGAAUGCCAAUGUUGACCAUAGAGGGAUACUUGAGACCUGAUCGAUGGACAGAGGCACCUGAAUUUAUGAGCAUUUGUUCUGGAGGAAGCCAGCCUCUGCCCUGAGGAUAACAAACGGCCCUGGAGAGGCCCACAGCCAACGCCUAGUAGCCAACGUGAGUGAGCCACCUUAGAAGGAUCCUUUAGCUCUGUUCAGUCCUUAAGAAGUCUGCAGCCCACAUCAACACCUUGACCACAACCUGCUGAGAGAUCCUAGCCAGAAACACCCAGUUCCAACUUGACUCAAAAAAACUGAGAAUGGAUCCUCUCCCUUCUGGCCAUCUCAGGGAAGACAGAAGCCACAAGGGUCAGCAGGCAUGGAAGAAGAGAGAGGAUAGGGAAAUUUAGGGAAAGGAGGAGUAUGGGUGUCCAGAUCUCCAAAAGGGUCUACGGCAGCAGGUGAACAUGUCCCUAAGGCUGCUGGGUCCAUCAGCACGUGGUCAACCUUAUCCCCUCCACAUGGCCAAGCCUCGGUCAUUAUCUGCUUCCCCCCCACUUCGGACAUCUCACAAGCCAUUUUUUGAGGUCUAAUUGCCUGCCAGAGCACACAGCGUGGGGGCUCCGGCAGCCAUGGCGCCCGGGGUCAGCAGGCCUCUCAGAGCUGGGUCCCACUGUUUGGGUGCCGAGUGCACAGCCAGUCUUUGUGCUGCAUCAGCUGGAGACAGCGAGCGCGCGCUUUCCUGCGCCUUUGCGCGUGACACCUGCGAGGCCCAGCGCUCACAGCCCAGCCCCCCAGGUUCAGCUCCCACAGGGAACUUCAGGCUUGGGAAUAUGGGAGGUGUAGAGGAAUGGCGUGUUGAUGAGGCUGGAGCUGCGAGGAGGGAGGUUGAUCUGGGGAUUGGAGAAGGCGGGGAAGGCAUGAGAAGCCCAGGGCUCAGAACGGUCGCCUCCCCGCCCCGCCGGCUCCCUCCGCUGCCUCCCAGUCCGCAAGGGAAGAGGAAAUCUCGCCAGAGAGCCAUGUAAAAAUAGAUGUAUUUCUGGAUAAGCACCGAGCCUGAAAAAACGGCUGAGCCGGAGUCUGCUCCGCUGACAGAAGAUCUAUGUACCAAAUUCCUCUUCAAAAUCUAUUUCUCCAGAGGUUUAUUCUUGCAGGGCUCUCCCAAGCUGGAGGAAGUUCGCAGCACCAGGCCACUGGGAGGCCUCGCCUCCCGCUGGCGACCUGGCUGCCCCAACUCUUUCCCCAGUGACCAUUUCCCAGCUUGAGCUGUGGUUCAAUUAGGUAGCAGCUGAUGGGAGCAGGCUGGAGCAGAAAAGUCAGGGCUGAAAUGUAAAAGGGAUUUGAAUGGCAAAAAGGUCAUUCUCAUGCAUUACCCUGGCUGGGUCGCAAGCCAGCAUGACGCAAGAUGACACCCAGCCUGGCAGCUAGAGAAUAAGUGAUGGCUAUAUUUAUGUUUCCAUCUAAAUGCAUGGAUCAAAGCAGACACUUUAAUCUAUUCAACAACAGCCUGAGGAUUAAAAAGUUGCAGGCAAAUCACACUCUUAAAUUGGAAAUAUAUUUUUGCUUGUCACUUGACAAAUCAUUUUAGAGAAUGACUCCAGGCCGGGUGAGACACCUGAAGAUUUUGAACCUGGCUCACUAAUCUGGAUGGAGCCCCUGCCUCUAGGCCUAGGGUGUGGUUCAAGCCCCUCACUUGCUCUAGUUCCUGUUAAUCCAGUUUCAAGGGAUACCUCGAGGGGGCCUAAAGUCACACAGACAAAUACGUCUCAAUUUCCACAUCAGCCUAGGAGUUGAGCACCAUAAUCACUGUUUCACAGGCCAGAAGACCUAGGUAGGUGGCUUGCCUAGGUCACAAGAUAAGUGGCAGAGUGGGAUGCAAGGCCAAAUGUUUGGGCUCUGAGUACAGUGCUCCUGUCCUCUGUUGGAGCUGCCCUCUUGCACCCAUACAGGGCAGUGAAGAGGAAUAAAACCUACACUGCCACUGGCUGUCUAACCCUUAGCAAGUUACUGAUGCUGGAGCGGGAACUUCUGACCUGGUGACUGUAGAAAUAAAAUCCUGACAAGGAGUGAGUACAAAACUGUAACUGG